Molecule: ribosomal RNA, 452 nt
Filed under: uncultured bacterium
Lineage: Bacteria
Description: bacterial SSU rRNA
Rfam family: Bacterial small subunit ribosomal RNA
Source: RNAcentral
AACGAACGCUGGCGGCAGGCCUAACACAUGCAAGUCGAACGCCCCGCAAGGGGAGUGGCAGACGGGUGAGUAACACGUGGGAACCUUCCCUAUAGUACGGAAUAGCCCAGGGAAACUUGGAGUAAUACCGUAUACGCCCGAGAGGGGAAAGAUUUAUCGCUAUAGGAUGGGCCCGCGUAGGAUUAGCUAGUUGGUGAGGUAAUGGCUCACCAAGGCGACGAUCCUUAGCUGGUCUGAGAGGACGACCAGCCACACUGGGACUGAGACACGGCCCAGACUCCUACGGGAGGCAGCAGUGGGGAAUAUUGGACAAUGGGCGCAAGCCUGAUCCAGCCAUGCCGCAUGAGUGAUGAAGGCCUUCGGUUGUAAGACUCUUUUUGUCCGGGGACGGAUAAUGACGGUACCCGGACGAAUAAGUACCCGGCUAACUUCGUGCCAGCAGCCGCGGUAAU